This 292-nucleotide ribosomal RNA is filed under the name uncultured bacterium. RNAcentral's name for it is "partial 16S ribosomal RNA". It matches the Rfam family "Bacterial small subunit ribosomal RNA", at positions 505 to 796 of the family's 1533-position model. The record is from RNAcentral.
GUGUCAGCAGCCGCGGUAAUACGGAGGGUGCAAACGUUGCUCGGAAUUAUUGGGCGUAAAGCGCACGUAGGCGGUCCAGCAAGUCGGGUGUGAAAGCCCUCGGCUUAACCGAGGAAGUGCAUUCGAAACUAUUGGACUUGAAUACUGAAGAGGAUCGCGGAAUUCCCGGUGUAGAGGUGAAAUUCGUAGAUAUCGGGAGGAACACCAGUGGCGAAGGCGGCGAUCUGGGCAGAUAUUGACGCUGAUGUGCGAAAGCGUGGGGAGCAAACAGGAUUAGAUACCCCCGUAGUCC